RNAcentral lists this ribosomal RNA (427 nucleotides) under uncultured bacterium. Its description in RNAcentral is "partial 16S ribosomal RNA". It matches the Rfam family "Bacterial small subunit ribosomal RNA", at positions 354 to 796 of the family's 1533-position model. The record is from RNAcentral.
GUGGGGAAUAUUGGGCAAUGGGGGAAACCCUGACCCAGCGACGCCGCGUGAGGGAAGAAGGCCUUAGGGUCGUAAACCUCUGUUGUGUGGGAAGAAGAGCGUGACGGUACCACACGAGGAAGUCCCGGCUAACUACGUGCCAGCAGCCGCGGUAAUACGUAGGGGACGAGCGUUGUCCGGAUUUACUGGGCGUAAAGGGCGCGUAGGCGGUCAUUUAAGUCAGCUGUGAAAUGGUUUGGCUUAACCGGAUCAUGCGGUUGAAACUGGAUGACUGGAGUGCUGGAGAGGCAAGUGGAAUUCCCAGUGUAGCGGUGAAAUGCGUAGAUAUUGGGAAGAACACCGGUGGCGAAGGCGACUUGCUGGCCAGCAACUGACGCUGAGGCGCGAAAGCCAGGGGAGCAAACGGGAUUAGAAACCCCGGUAGUCC